This is a non-coding RNA of Heligmosomoides polygyrus, 72 nucleotides long. Lineage: Eukaryota; Metazoa; Nematoda; Chromadorea; Rhabditida; Heligmosomidae. The record is from Rfam.
GCACCGGUGGUGUAAAGCGUAGCAUUGGUGCCCGGAAAGCAGAAGUUGCGGGUUCGAGUCCCGCUUGGCGCA